Medicago truncatula (barrel medic) is the source of this 1670-nucleotide long non-coding RNA. RefSeq lists it as uncharacterized. Lineage: Eukaryota; Viridiplantae; Streptophyta; Magnoliopsida; Fabales; Fabaceae. The transcript is spliced from 3 exons. The record is from RefSeq and is a predicted model, not a curated record.
UUGUUUUUAUGAAUCUAAUUCAUUCUUCGUUUUGAGUAACAACUGACACAUUCUCGAAGGUCCUUCGUAAAAAUCGAAAACUAUAAAUCACUAUUUCAAAUCCCUUAAAUUCAAUAAUUAUCAUUCCCCUCUCUUCUUCUUCCACAAUCUAAAUCCCUAACUGCUUCGAGUUGGUUCCGUGGCACGCGAUCUUCAGAAGAGCAGAUUUACAUGGAGAUGGUAGAAUCAGUGGUGUCAAUUUCUUUCAAGGAUCCAUCCAAACGUUCUUGCUCAGCUCAGGUAUGGAUGCAUGCUUAUCGGUUGGGAAGACUGGUGUGACUGCUGAACCAACAUCGACUCAAGUUUUCCCUUAUAGAGGACAGUUGGGAACCAGCAUUAUCUUCCUUCUCAGCAGGGUGCUAACAUGAGACCGCCUCAAUCACCAGGGGUUAGCAGCUUUUGUGGCAGGUCACCGGCUUCCAGCUGGAGCAGAUUUCGCUGUCUCUUGACUCCGUUUGGGUCUCAAUUCAUUACAGGACCAUGCCAACUUCUGGUCCACAGAGCUAUCCAGGAAGAGUUGCAAUAGUAGGAGUCUCACUUCUAAUACAACUACUACCAAUACCAUCAAUCAAAUGAUUGGUGAUGUAACCUAUGCAAAACUAUACCUCACAAAUGGAACUGGCUCAAAAUUCUCUGGUUUUUGUCGUGUUUCCCUCGCAGAUCAGAUUUGGCACACCAAUUUGGGUUUUUUCUCGGCUGCAGCCUUGACUUUUGUUUUCCCUUGGCCAUGUGUUGCAGACAGAAGCGAACCUGUUCCAGUGCAACAGCAGGUUACAGCACCAAAGAAAUCAUUUGCAGAGGCACUGGGGGGCAAAAGCAUUACUGCAGAUCAUCAAAGGGGAUGCCCUUUGUAUCAAGAUCAUGCAGACUGUUUAUGAGAAAGGAGCCUAGAUCUAACCAAUGAUUCAAACAAAUACUUAGUUUCUAUCACAACAUUCAAGAGUUGAUAGAUACAUGGGAAGUGAAGAUAUGUAGAUUACCAACACGUGACAAUGUCGCUGACCCACUGACAAAGCCUCUUGCGCAGCAGAAGAAUGAUAGUCAUACUAUAUUUUUGUGCCUUAGGUGUAUUUUUUUGUUGGAUUUAGUUCUAGUGGGUCUAUAAAUAAAACCAUUGGGCUGAUAUGUUUCAUAGACACACAAAAACACAAAAUCAUUGUUUCAAAACCCUAUGCGCCAUUAGAAAUCAUGUGUUUUUGAUCUCUCGGAUUUCGUUCAUUCGUAUCUAGCACUGUUGAUGGAGGAUUCUUUUCGCAUGGACUGGGUAGAGGUGUUAUCGACCGUGAAGUUCUCACAAUCAUUUUGUGAUUUCAACUAUAAAAAGGUUCUACACUUCAAGACACAAUUGUUUGAUACCUAAAUAGGGGCGGAUCUCUUUGGAAGUGCCACUGCCCCCUCAAGUUUUUAUAUAAAUUUCAUAUUAUGCUUAAUAUUUCAACAAAUGCGUGUUGUUGCAGUGGUUAUGCGAUUCUUCAAUGUGUAAAAGGUCGUGUGUUCGAACCCCUGACACCCCAUCCCCAGGUAUCAAUCAAGCAAUAUUACCACCACACCAGUUAACAAUGUUCAAUGUUGGGUGAGGCAGACAUUCCUAAUUUUAUAUAACGAGUAUUUCAUUUGACAAGGUUGUUUUA